ACCGGAUUAGAUACCCUGGUAGUCCAUGCCGUAAACGAUGAGUGCUAAGUGUUAGAGGGUUUCCGCCCUUUAGUGCUGCAGCUAACGCAUUAAGCACUCCGCCUGGGGAGUACGGUCGCAAGACUGAAACUCAAAGGAAUUGACGGGGGCCCGCACAAGCGGUGGAGCAUGUGGUUUAAUUCGAAGCAACGCGAAGAACCUUACCAGGUCUUGACAUCCUCUGACAACUCUAGAGAUAGAGCGUUCCCCUUCGGGGGACAGAGUGACAGGUGGUGCAUGGUUGUCGUCAGCUCGUGUCGUGAGAUGUUGGGUUAAGUCCCGCAACGAGCGCAACCCUUGAUCUUAGUUGCCAGCAUUUAGUUGGGCACUCUAAGGUGACUGCCGGUGACAAACCGGAGGAAGGUGGGGAUGACGUCAAAUCAUCAUGCCCCUUAUGACCUGGGCUACACACGUGCUACAAUGGAUGGUACAAAGGGCUGCAAGACCGCGAGGUCAAGCCAAUCCCAUAAAACCAUUCUCAGUUCGGAUUGUAGCUGCAACUCGCCUACAUGAAGCUGGAAUCGCUAGUAAUCGCGGAUCAGCAUGCCGCGGUGAAUACGU
Molecule: ribosomal RNA, 600 nt
Filed under: uncultured bacterium
Lineage: Bacteria
Description: bacterial SSU rRNA
Rfam family: Bacterial small subunit ribosomal RNA
Source: RNAcentral